AACGCGAAGAACCUUACCAAGGUUUGACAUGGCCGGAAAAGCAUCAGAGAUGGUGUGUCCUUCGGGGUCGGUCACAGGUGGUGCAUGGCUGUCGUCAGCUCGUGUCGUGAGAUGUUGGGUUAAGUCCCGCAACGAGCGCAACCCUCGUCCUAUGUUGCCAGCGGGUCAUGCCGGGGACUCAUGGGAGACUGCCGGGGUCAACUCGGAGGAAGGUGGGGAUGACGUCAAGUCAUCAUGCCCCUUAUGUCUUGGGCUGCAAACAUGCUACAAUGGCCGGUACAGAGGGCUGCGAACUCGCGAGAGUAAGCGAAUCCCGGAAAGCCGGUCUCAGUUCGGAUCGGGGUCUGCAACUCGGCCCCGUGAAGCUGGAGUCGCUAGUAAUCGCGGAUCAGCAACGCCGCGGUGAAUACGUUCCCGGGCCUUGUACACACCGCGCAUA
RNAcentral lists this ribosomal RNA (439 nucleotides) under uncultured bacterium. RNAcentral's name for it is "bacterial SSU rRNA". It matches the Rfam family "Bacterial small subunit ribosomal RNA", at positions 958 to 1398 of the family's 1533-position model. The record is from RNAcentral.